RNAcentral lists this ribosomal RNA (519 nucleotides) under uncultured bacterium. RNAcentral describes it as "bacterial SSU rRNA". It matches the Rfam family "Bacterial small subunit ribosomal RNA", at positions 8 to 524 of the family's 1533-position model. The record is from RNAcentral.
AGAGUUUGAUCCUGGCUCAGAUUGAACGCUGGCGGCAUGCCUUACACAUGCAAGUCGAACGGUAACAGGUCUUCGGAUGCUGACGAGUGGCGAACGGGUGAGUAAUACAUCGGAACGUGCCCGAUCGUGGGGGAUAACGCAGCGAAAGCUGUGCUAAUACCGCAUACGAUCUACGGAUGAAAGCAGGGGAUCGCAAGACCUUGCGCGGACGGAGCGGCCGAUGGCAGAUUAGGUAGUUGGUGGGGUAAAGGCUCACCAAGCCGACGAUCUGUAGCUGGUCUGAGAGGACGACCAGCCACACUGGGACUGAGACACGGCCCAGACUCCUACGGGAGGCAGCAGUGGGGAAUUUUGGACAAUGGGCGCAAGCCUGAUCCAGCCAUGCCGCGCGCAGGAUGAAGGCCUUCGGGUUGUAAACUGCUUUUGUACGGAACGAAAAGGUCUUCUCUAAUAAAGAGGGCUCAUGACGGUACCGUAAGAAUAAGCACCGGCUAACUACGUGCCAGCAGCCGCGGUAAU